Molecule: ribosomal RNA, 513 nt
Filed under: uncultured Sphingobacterium sp.
Lineage: Bacteria; Pseudomonadati; Bacteroidota; Sphingobacteriia; Sphingobacteriales; Sphingobacteriaceae
Description: bacterial SSU rRNA
Rfam family: Bacterial small subunit ribosomal RNA
Source: RNAcentral
UGGGGCAGCAGGUCUGUAGCAAUACAGGCGCUGGCGACCGGCAAACGGGUGCGGAACACGUACACAACCUUCCUUUAAGUGGGGAAUAGCCCGGGGAAACCCGGAUUAAUACCCCGUAACAUAUAGAAGUGGCAUCACUUUUAUAUUAUAGCUCCGGCGCUUAAUGAUGGGUGUGCGGCUGAUUAGAUAGUUGGCGGGGUAACGGCCCACCAAGUCGACGAUCAGUAACUGGUGUGAGAGCACGACCAGUCACACGGGCACUGAGACACGGGCCCGACUCCUACGGGAGGCAGCAGUAAGGAAUAUUGGUCAAUGGACGCAAGUCUGAACCAGCCAUGCCGCGUGGAGGGUGAAGGUCCUCUGGAUUGUAAACUUCUUUUAUUUGGGAAGAAAUCUAUCUUUUCUUGGAUAGUUGACGGUACCAGAUGAAUAAGCACCGGCUAACUCCGUGCCAGCAGCCGCGGUAAUACGGAGGGUGCAAGCGUUAUCCGGAUUCACUGGGUUUAAAGGGUG